Neopelma chrysocephalum (saffron-crested tyrant-manakin) is the source of this 267-nucleotide long non-coding RNA. RefSeq lists it as uncharacterized. The record is from RefSeq and is a predicted model, not a curated record. NCBI's taxonomy places the organism in Eukaryota, Metazoa, Chordata, Aves, Passeriformes, Pipridae. The transcript has 3 exons.
AAAAAAAAAAAAAAGGCUGCGAGAGCUUGGGGGGCUGGGCCUCACGUAAACCAGGCAGGAGAGAUGUUUCCAAGAUAGGAUCAUUUCACACCAGAACUCAUAUACUGAAACCCUAAUUAAUAUUGAAAAGUCUGUGCUCUGCCAUGUCCUCAAAUCCAUGGAAUUUGGGUAAGGAAACUCAACUAUCCAAUGUGUUUCUCCCACACGUCCACAGAGCUGAUGCUUCCACCGCACCUAUUCUUUUGUAAAAAUACAACUGUUGCAACA